AGCAGCAUGGCGCAGUGGUAGCGCGCGGGGCCCAUAACCCCGAGGUCACUUGAUCGAAACAAGUUGCUGCUA
This is a transfer RNA of 72 nucleotides. It matches the Rfam family "tRNA". Rfam says of the family: Transfer RNA (tRNA) molecules are approximately 80 nucleotides in length. Their secondary structure includes four short double-helical elements and three loops (D, anti-codon, and T loops). The record is from Rfam.